GAUAUGGGUAUUAGUCGAAAUAUGUACAUUUUCCUUGUUUUAUCAGUCUUCUUACUAUCGACAAGUACUUAAAAUGUAUAUUUCGAAAUACAUCCUCAAAAAUAUGUAAGAAAGAAAAAUAUCGGAAUGCUAUAUGAAGUAGAAAUAUUGUAGAUCAGAUUCUAUGAUUUAAUCAUCAUUGAUUGAGCUCAGAAGUAAGCAAACUUUAGCUGAAAAAUGCUUGCAUUAAAUAUUCAAACUUUUUUUCUCGUUGUUCUAGCAGUUUUAUUAAUUUCUGCUGAUUUUUCAAAUGCGGACAACACCCUUGAAGAAAGAAUAAAGAAAUUAAUAGAUUUAGGAAUUCCAG
This is a long non-coding RNA of Parasteatoda tepidariorum (common house spider), 346 nucleotides long. Lineage: Eukaryota; Metazoa; Arthropoda; Arachnida; Araneae; Theridiidae. The record is from RefSeq and is a predicted model, not a curated record.